GGUUAGUGUGGUGUAGUGGUUUGAACGUUGGACUAUGACUCUGGAGAACAGGGUUUGAAUCUCAGCUCAACCA
Molecule: non-coding RNA, 73 nt
Organism: Phrynosoma platyrhinos (Desert horned lizard)
Lineage: Eukaryota; Metazoa; Chordata; Lepidosauria; Squamata; Phrynosomatidae
Source: the annotation of a GenBank genome assembly